AAUCCAUGAUGAGGGCAUUGAGCUUGGUAGCCUUUGAAUCUCUCCCAGGCUUCACUGAAUCCUUCCAAGCCUUUCUGUUGAAAGCUGGAGAUCUCAUUUCUUAGCUU
This 107-nucleotide small nucleolar RNA is filed under the name Brassica napus (rape). Its description in RNAcentral is "Plant small nucleolar RNA R71". It matches the Rfam family "Plant small nucleolar RNA R71". Rfam says of the family: R71 is a member of the C/D box family of snoRNAs containing the C (UGAUGA) and D (CUGA) box motifs. Multiple nearly identical copies of this snoRNA have been identified in Arabidopsis, and it is thought to function as a 2'-O-ribose methylation guide for 18S ribosomal RNA. The record is from Rfam by way of RNAcentral. RNAcentral also lists the same sequence under 1 other name. Lineage: Eukaryota; Viridiplantae; Streptophyta; Magnoliopsida; Brassicales; Brassicaceae.